RNAcentral lists this ribosomal RNA (404 nucleotides) under uncultured bacterium. RNAcentral describes it as "partial 16S ribosomal RNA". It matches the Rfam family "Bacterial small subunit ribosomal RNA", at positions 28 to 526 of the family's 1533-position model. The record is from RNAcentral.
GACGAACGCUGGCGGCGUGCUUAACACAUGCAAGUCGAGCGGAGCGGCGAACGGGUGAGUACCGCGUGAGUAACUGCCCACCUCUCUGGGAUAACAGUUGGAAACGGCUGCUAAUACCGGAUAGUGGGGGGGGACGCGCGUCCUAUCAGAUUGUUGUUGGGGUAGUGGCAUACCAAGGCGACGACGGGUAGCCGGCCUGAGAGGGCGACCGGCCACAGUGGGAUGAGACACGGCCGAAACUGCUACGGGAGGCAGCAGUGGGGAAUGUUGCACAAUGGGGGAAACCCUGAUGCAGCAACGCGCGUGCGUGAUGACGGCCUUCGGGUUGUAAACCGCUUUCAGCCAUGACGCGGUAGUGGCAGAAGAAGCACCGGCUAACUACGUGCCAGCAGCCGCGGUAAUUC